This 375-nucleotide ribosomal RNA is filed under the name uncultured Glomeromycotina. RNAcentral describes it as "eukaryotic LSU rRNA". Lineage: Eukaryota; Fungi; Glomeromycota. The record is from RNAcentral.
UUGAAAGGGAAACGAUUGAAGUCAGUCAUACCAACGGGAAAUCAACCUUUUGAGCUUGGUCUCGUGGGUUUUGAAGAGUUUCAAAGCCUUCGGAUUCGCGGGAUUGGGAUCUCUUGGUGUACUUUUUCGUACGGUUAGUCAACAUCGGUUUUAAAUGUCAUAAAAUGAUUGGAGGAAUGUAGCUUCGAUCUCGUAUUGAAGUGUUAUAGCCUUUGGUAGAUGUGAUGUUUGAGACCGAGGAUUGCAACGGAUACCCUUCAGGGCUAUUCGUCUGAUCUCUGAUACGUUGCCUUGAUGUUGAAAGCUUGCUUAUGAUGUUAGGGUAUUACGGUCAAAAGGUUAGAACGAAUUACAUUCGUUAAGGAUGUUGACGUA